UUCGGAUCGCAGUCUGCAACUCGACUGCAUGAAGCUGGAAUCGCUAGUAAUCGCGAAUCAGCAUGUCGCGGUGAAUACGUUCCCGGGUCUUGUACACACCGCCCGUCACACCAUGGGAGUCGGAAAUGCCCGAAGCCAGUGACCCAACCUUUAAGGAGGGAGCUGUCGAAGGCAGGUCUGGUAACUGGGGUGAAGUCGUAACAAGGUAUC
RNAcentral lists this ribosomal RNA (210 nucleotides) under uncultured bacterium. RNAcentral's name for it is "partial 16S ribosomal RNA". It matches the Rfam family "Bacterial small subunit ribosomal RNA", at positions 1292 to 1500 of the family's 1533-position model. The record is from RNAcentral.